UUCAGCUGUUGGAAGAACCGGUUGAGAUCAUUGACAAUGCUUUGGAGUUACGAGCUUUUGACCGUAUGGAGGAAGACAUCAAACUCAUUGGUUUCUUCAAGAGUCGUGACUCUGAACAUUAUCUUGCUUUCCAAGAGGCAGCUGAACAGUUUCAGCCUUUUAUCAAUUUUUUUGCCACCUUUGAGAAAUCUGUUGCAAAAGAGCUGACUCUGAAGAUGAAUGAGGUGGAC
Sinocyclocheilus anshuiensis is the source of this 230-nucleotide long non-coding RNA. RefSeq lists it as uncharacterized. NCBI's taxonomy places the organism in Eukaryota, Metazoa, Chordata, Actinopteri, Cypriniformes, Cyprinidae. The transcript is spliced from 3 exons. The record is from RefSeq and is a predicted model, not a curated record.